This 74-nucleotide transfer RNA is filed under the name Ixodes scapularis (black-legged tick). It matches the Rfam family "tRNA". From Rfam's summary of the family: Transfer RNA (tRNA) molecules are approximately 80 nucleotides in length. Their secondary structure includes four short double-helical elements and three loops (D, anti-codon, and T loops). Lineage: Eukaryota; Metazoa; Arthropoda; Arachnida; Ixodida; Ixodidae. The record is from Rfam by way of RNAcentral.
ACCAGGUUAGCUAAGUUGGUAUUAGCGCUCGACUGGAAACGAAGAGGUCCCUGGUUCGAUUCCAGGGCCAGGCG